UAGGGAAUCUUCGGCAAUGGACGAAAGUCUGACCGAGCAACGCCGCGUGAGUGAAGAAGGCUCUCGGAUCGUAAAACUCUGUUGUUAGAGAAGAACAAGGACGUUAGUAACUGAACGUCCCCUGACGGUAUCUAACCAGAAAGCCACGGCUAACUACGUGCCAGCAGCCGCGGUAAUACGUAGGUGGCAAGCGUUGUCCGGAUUUAUUGGGCGUAAAGCGAGCGCAGGCGGUUUCUUAAGUCUGAUGUGAAAGCCCCCGGCUCAACCGGGGAGGGUCAUUGGAAACUGGGGGACUUGAGUGCAGAAGAGGAAGGUGGAAUUCCAUGUGUAGCGGUGAAAUGCGUAGAUAUAUGAAGGAACACCAGUGGCGAAGGCGGCUCUCUGGUCUGUAACUGACGCUGAGGCUCGAAAGCGUGGGGAGCAAACAGG
Molecule: ribosomal RNA, 429 nt
Filed under: Gemmatimonadota bacterium
Lineage: Bacteria; Pseudomonadati; Gemmatimonadota
Description: Gemmatimonadetes bacterium partial 16S ribosomal RNA
Rfam family: Bacterial small subunit ribosomal RNA
Source: RNAcentral